RNAcentral lists this ribosomal RNA (1195 nucleotides) under Knoellia sinensis. Its description in RNAcentral is "bacterial SSU rRNA". It matches the Rfam family "Bacterial small subunit ribosomal RNA", at positions 235 to 1442 of the family's 1533-position model. Lineage: Bacteria; Bacillati; Actinomycetota; Actinomycetes; Micrococcales; Intrasporangiaceae. The record is from RNAcentral.
GGCCUAUCAGCUUGUUGGUGAGGUAAUGGCUCACCAAGGCGAUGACGGGUAGCCGGCCUGAGAGGGCGAUCGGCCACACUGGGACUGAGACACGGCCCAGACUCCUACGGGAGGCAGCAGUGGGGAAUAUUGCACAAUGGGCGCAAGCCUGAUGCAGCGACGCCGCGUGAGGGAUGACGGCCUUCGGGUUGUAAACCUCUUUCAGCAGGGAAGAAGCGAAAGUGACGGUACCUGCAGAAGAAGCACCGGCUAACUACGUGCCAGCAGCCGCGGUAAUACGUAGGGUGCGAGCGUUGUCCGGAAUUAUUGGGCGUAAAGAGCUUGUAGGCGGUUUGUCGCGUCUGCUGUGAAAAUCCGGGGCUCAACCCCGGACUUGCAGUGGGUACGGGCAGACUAGAGUGUGGUAGGGGAGACUGGAAUUCCUGGUGUAGCGGUGAAAUGCGCAGAUAUCAGGAGGAACACCGAUGGCGAAGGCAGGUCUCUGGGCCACUACUGACGCUGAGAAGCGAAAGCAUGGGGAGCGAACAGGAUUAGAUACCCUGGUAGUCCAUGCCGUAAACGUUGGGAACUAGGUGUGGGUCUCAUUCCACGAGGUCCGUGCCGCAGCUAACGCAUUAAGUUCCCCGCCUGGGGAGUACGGCCGCAAGGCUAAAACUCAAAGGAAUUGACGGGGGCCCGCACAAGCGGCGGAGCAUGUGGAUUAAUUCGAUGCAACGCGAAGAACCUUACCAAGGCUUGACAUAUACCGGAAACAUUCAGAGAUGGGUGCCCCGCAAGGUCGGUAUACAGGUGGUGCAUGGUUGUCGUCAGCUCGUGUCGUGAGAUGUUGGGUUAAGUCCCGCAACGAGCGCAACCCUCGUUCUAUGUUGCCAGCACGUGAUGGUGGGGACUCAUAGGAGACUGCCGGGGUCAACUCGGAGGAAGGUGGGGAUGAGGUCAAAUCAUCAUGCCCCUUAUGUCUUGGGCUUCACACAUGCUACAAUGGCCGGUACAAAGGGCUGCGAUACCGCGAGGUGGAGCGAAUCCCAAAAAACCGGUCUCAGUUCGGAUUGGGGUCUGCAACUCGACCCCAUGAAGUUGGAGUCGCUAGUAAUCGCAGAUCAGCAACGCUGCGGUGAAUACGUUCCCGGGCCUUGUACACACCGCCCGUCAAGUCACGAAAGUCGGUAACACCCGAAGCCGGUGGCCCAACCCU